GAACGAUGCCUUCGGGCAUAGUGGCGCACGGGUGCGUAACGCGUGGGAAUCUGCCCCUUGGUUCGGAAUAACAGUUAGAAAUGACUGCUAAUACCGGAUGACGACGUAAGUCCAAAGAUUUAUCGCCGAGGGAUGAGCCCGCGUAGGAUUAGCUAGUUGGUGUGGUAAAGGCGCACCAAGGCGACGAUCCUUAGCUGGUCUGAGAGGAUGAUCAGCCACACUGGGACUGAGACACGGCCCAGACUCCUACGGGAGGCAGCAGUGGGGAAUAUUGGACAAUGGGCGCAAGCCUGAUCCAGCAAUGCCGCGUGAGUGAUGAAGGCCUUAGGGUUGUAAAGCUCUUUUACCCGGGAUGAUAAUGACAGUACCGGGAGAAUAAGCCCCGGCUAACUCCGUG
RNAcentral lists this ribosomal RNA (397 nucleotides) under uncultured bacterium. Its description in RNAcentral is "bacterial SSU rRNA". It matches the Rfam family "Bacterial small subunit ribosomal RNA", at positions 64 to 507 of the family's 1533-position model. The record is from RNAcentral.